GCCGGUAGGUAAAUCCGCCGGCUGUAUGCCUGAGACCUGAUGGGCGCCCACAUGGUGGGUGAUCCGGUGAUCCUAUGCUGCCUAGAAAAGCAUCGGCGUGAGGUUCAAACUGCCCGUACCCUAAACCGACACAGGUGGUCAGGUAGAGAAUACUAAGGCGAUCGAGAGAAUCAUGGUUAAGGAACUCGGCAAAAUGCCCCCGUAACUUCGGGAGAAGGGGGGCCCCAACCUUGAGCACCACGUGCUGGUGUGAGGGGAUCGGGGCCGCAGAGACCAGGGGGAAGCGCCGGUAGGUAAAUCCGCCGGCUGUAUGCCUGAGACCUGAUGGGCGCCCACAUGGUGGGUGAUCCGGUGAUCCUAUGCUGCCUAGAAAAGCAUCGGCGU
Molecule: ribosomal RNA, 384 nt
Filed under: Staphylococcus aureus
Lineage: Bacteria; Bacillati; Bacillota; Bacilli; Caryophanales; Staphylococcaceae
Description: bacterial LSU rRNA
Rfam family: Bacterial large subunit ribosomal RNA
Source: RNAcentral